Molecule: ribosomal RNA, 250 nt
Filed under: uncultured prokaryote
Description: partial 16S ribosomal RNA
Rfam family: Bacterial small subunit ribosomal RNA
Source: RNAcentral
UACGUAUGGUGCAAGCGUUAUCCGGAUUUACUGGGUGUAAAGGGUGCGUAGGCGGCAUGGCAAGUCAGAAGUGAAAACUAUGGGCUUAACCCAUAGACUGCUUUUGAAACUGUCAAGCUAGAGUAUGGGAGAGGAAAGCGGAAUUCCUAGUGUAGCGGUGAAAUGCGUAGAUAUUAGGAGGAACACCAGUGGCGAAGGCGGCUUUCUGGACCAAAACUGACGCUGAGGCACGAAAGCGUGGGGAGCAAAC